RNAcentral lists this ribosomal RNA (1141 nucleotides) under Weissella confusa. RNAcentral describes it as "bacterial SSU rRNA". It matches the Rfam family "Bacterial small subunit ribosomal RNA", at positions 44 to 1123 of the family's 1533-position model. Lineage: Bacteria; Bacillati; Bacillota; Bacilli; Lactobacillales; Lactobacillaceae. The record is from RNAcentral.
GGGCAGUCCUAUACUGCAGUCGACGCUUUGUGGUUCAACUGAUUUGAAGAGCUUGCUCAGAUAUGACGAUGGACAUUGCAAAGAGUGGCGAACGGGUGAGUAACACGUGGGAAACCUACCUCUUAGCAGGGGAUAACAUUUGGAAACAGAUGCUAAUACCGUAUAACAAUGACAACCGCAUGGUUGUUAUUUAAAAGAUGGUUCUGCUAUCACUAAGAGAUGGUCCCGCGGUGCAUUAGCUAGUUGGUAAGGUAAUGGCUUACCAAGGCGAUGAUGCAUAGCCGAGUUGAGAGACUGAUCGGCCACAAUGGGACUGAGACACGGCCCAUACUCCUACGGGAGGCAGCAGUAGGGAAUCUUCCACAAUGGGCGAAAGCCUGAUGGAGCAACGCCGCGUGUGUGAUGAAGGGUUUCGGCUCGUAAAACACUGUUGUAAGAGAAGAAUGACAUUGAGAGUAACUGUUCAAUGUGUGACGGUAUCUUACCAGAAAGGAACGGCUAAAUACGUGCCAGCAGCCGCGGUAAUACGUAUGUUCCAAGCGUUAUCCGGAUUUAUUGGGCGUAAAGCGAGCGCAGACGGUUAUUUAAGUCUGAAGUGAAAGCCCUCAGCUCAACUGAGGAAUUGCUUUGGAAACUGGAUGACUUGAGUGCAGUAGAGGAAAGUGGAACUCCAUGUGUAGCGGUGAAAUGCGUAGAUAUAUGGAAGAACACCAGUGGCGAAGGCGGCUUUCUGGACUGUAACUGACGUUGAGGCUCGAAAGUGUGGGUAGCAAACAGGAUUAGAUACCCUGGUAGUCCACACCGUAAACGAUGAGUGCUAGGUGUUUGAGGGUUUCCGCCCUUAAGUGCCGCAGCUAACGCAUUAAGCACUCCGCCUGGGGGAGUACGACCGCAAGGUUGAAACUCAAAGGAAUUGACGGGGGACCCGCACAAGCGGUGGAGCAUGUGGUUUAAUUCGAAGCAACGCGAAAGAAACCUUACCAGGGUCUUGACAUCCCUUGACAACUUCCAGAGAUGGGAGCGUUUCCCUUCGGGGACAGGGUGACAGGUGGUUGCCAUGGAUGUCGUCAGCUCGUGUUCGUUGAGAUGGAUUGGGGUUUAGUCCGGCACGAAGCGUCACCCAUUAAUUACCUAGGCUUGC